RNAcentral lists this ribosomal RNA (274 nucleotides) under uncultured bacterium. Its description in RNAcentral is "partial 16S ribosomal RNA". It matches the Rfam family "Bacterial small subunit ribosomal RNA", at positions 523 to 796 of the family's 1533-position model. The record is from RNAcentral.
AUACGGAGGGUGCAAGCGUUAUUCGGAAUCACUGGGCGUAAAGGACGCGUAGGCGGGAAGCCAAGUCUGAUGUGAAAUCCUAUGGCUUAACCAUAGAACUGCAUUGGAAACUGGUUACCUAGAGUAUGGGAGGGGGAGAUGGAAUUAGUGGUGUAGGGGUAAAAUCCGUAGAUAUCACUAGGAAUACCGAAAGCGAAGGCGAUCUCCUGGAACAAUACUGACGCUAAGGCGUGAAAGCGUGGGGAGCAAACGGGAUUAGAAACCCUUGUAGUCC